This 290-nucleotide small RNA is filed under the name Hydrogenophaga crassostreae. RNAcentral describes it as "5' ureB small RNA". It matches the Rfam family "5' ureB small RNA". Lineage: Bacteria; Pseudomonadati; Pseudomonadota; Betaproteobacteria; Burkholderiales; Comamonadaceae. The record is from Rfam by way of RNAcentral.
CUUCGUCGACCUGUUGUGGGCAGAUGAAGUGGAUGUGGCUGUCGAUGCCGCCGGCGGUGACGAUGUUGCCUUCGCAGCUGAUGAUUUCGGUGCCGGGGCCAAUGACGAUGUCGACCCUCGGCAUGGUGUCGGGGUUGCCCGCUUUGCCGAUGGCCGCAAUGCGACCGUCUUUCAGGCCGAUGUCGGCCUUGACAAUGCCCCAGUGGUCGAUGAUGAGCGCAUUGCUGAGCACGGUGUCCAUCGCGCCCUCGGCGCGGGUGCGCUGGCUUUGCGCCAUGCCGUCGCGGAUG